RNAcentral lists this non-coding RNA (21 nucleotides) under Caenorhabditis elegans. Lineage: Eukaryota; Metazoa; Nematoda; Chromadorea; Rhabditida; Rhabditidae. The record is from RNAcentral.
UAAUAUAUUUUACUUUACAAU